UACGAAGGGGGCUAGCGUUGCUCGGAAUUACUGGGCGUAAAGGGCGCGUAGGCGGACAGUUUAGUCAGAGGUGAAAGCCCAGGGCUCAACCUUGGAAUAGCCUUUGAUACUGACUGUCUUGAGUUCGGGAGAGGUGAGUGGAAUGCCGAGUGUAGAGGUGAAAUUCGUAGAUAUUCGCAAGAACACCAGUGGCGAAGGCGGCUCACUGGCCCGAUACUGACGCUGAGGCACGGAAAGCGUGGGGAGCAAACAGG
RNAcentral lists this ribosomal RNA (254 nucleotides) under uncultured bacterium. RNAcentral's name for it is "partial 16S ribosomal RNA". It matches the Rfam family "Bacterial small subunit ribosomal RNA", at positions 524 to 776 of the family's 1533-position model. The record is from RNAcentral.